AAAAUCCUCCCAGUUCUGCAGAAGAUACUGCUCUGUGCCGUGAGAAGAGAGAAGCAGCAAUAUUGCAUGCUAAUUUCUGUCAUAGAGUGAACCUGAGAACUGGGCCACCACUCUUGGGCAUGGCUGUGGGUGGAGAAGUUACACGGAAUAUGUCUGCCUCUCCUGUCUCACCUCCUUCACCUCUUCCACCUCUGCCACCCUGAGACAGCAAGAAAAACUCCACCCUUUUUUCCUCUUCCUGAGCCUAUCAACAUGAGGACAAUGGGAAUGAAGAUUUUAUGAUGAUCCACACCCACUAAGUGAAUAGGUCUCACCACUGCAGCCAUCAUCAAAAGUGGUUAUUACCAAGACUAGAUUGCAGCUCCGGACAGAGCAGCUGGCAGGGACUCAUAUUGUGAAUUGCAGCUCCAGCUCGACUGCAAGAACAAACCAGCAAUCCCGAGAGGACCCACAGACCCUCUAAAGGAAGUGGACUGCUCCUGCAGGACCUGGGAGACACCCCAAAUAUUAUCUAUAAACUCAAUUUUAGGAAGUCAAGUAUCUUCCCGAAAGUCACACAAGUAAAGAUGGACUUGGGUCUCUAAUCCAUUUGUUUGACUUCAAAACAUGUUAUCUCCAUUCCACUACCUCUUCUGUUCAGUGGAAUGAAAGAGGUUAAAACAGUUCACAGGGUCCAUGGAGUGAAUGAAAAAUGAAAAUGGGAAGAUAAAAUACAGAUUAUAGUUUUCAAGGAUUGGAGCUGGAAGGAGUUGCCUGUUUGAGAGCUGUGUUAAGGUCUGAGAAACAUGUGCAUGUUGUGCACUGCAAGAAAGGAAUCAAGAGGAAGGAGAGGAUGGAGAUAUAGAAGAUGAAAAUCAGCCAGAGUAACAAGGCUCCAGGAAAGCCACAUGGCUAUGUGCAUCCCUUAGAGAAACAAAUUGGAAAAAGGGAUGAGAAAACUGCUGCUCAGAACGUUAAAGGGACUUAUCCAAACUCAUGAGAUAAGUAAAAGGCAGAACAAAGUUUUAAAUCAGCUCUCACUGGUCCUAAAGCCUGUACUUAUUCCACAGUACUAUUGGAAAACAGAGGAGUGCCAAACAAGUGACUCACCUAAAUCAAUGCUGAAGACACACAGAAUAUUGAAGGAUCAACUCUACUUCUUCGAAAUAUACUUUAAUACUUUCACUGCCAAACCAGAGUUCAAGAAAUAACUGCGGUGGAAUGAUAAUGAGAAGUUUAACAGUUUUAUGAUGGUUGAAGCUGACUUUAUGAAAGUUGAUAAAUUUCAUCUUGUAGGUUUCAAUUUCUCAUUCCCUACCGAGAGAUGGGGAGAAUACAUUGACACUGCAUUUCAAAUUGGCUAGAUCAGAAGGAACAGCAGCUAAAAUCCAUUACAACCCAAUUACAUCCAUCAGCUGAAGCUGUGUGCAUUCACUUGUGAACAUCAGCAUUUAAUCCAUAAAGAGGAACUAAUGAGAAAUUUGAAAAUGGAAUCCACGCAUCAGUAAGUUUAGAGAGAUUUUUCUGGGAUUAAUGAUCUGCCAGAGCAUCUUCAGCAUUCUGGAAAGCUAUUCUCUCUGGGUUUGUUUACUGACCAAGAGAAAAAAAAAGGGGGUUUCCUUCUGUCUGCUCAUCAAAUAUUUGAAAGACUACUCAUUUCAGUCCUUGAAAAUGGGAUACCGUGAGCUUUGGAAGUAAGUUCUGAAGGGGUUGCUAUUUUUUGCAAGGUCAAGUCUGGGUCAAGUCUGGCUUCCUGAAACUAUAGCCUGGUGUUCCAUCCUAUAGAAAGGGGGAAAGAGAAAAUGGAUGUCAAGCAUAUGUUUCCAAAAUUUUGAAUACAAGUAACAGACAGAGAAAAAUGGUACAAAGGGUUAAAAGCAGUCUUAGUAACAUUGGAGAUGUGGAGAGAAAAUUAGAAGAGAGAAGCAGAAAUAAGGAGGCCCUGAGUCACAAGUAAG
Molecule: long non-coding RNA, 1937 nt
Filed under: Homo sapiens (human)
Lineage: Eukaryota; Metazoa; Chordata; Mammalia; Primates; Hominidae
Description: HSALNT0135223
Source: RNAcentral